GGCAAAGUACACUAUACUGCAUUGCAUUAUAAAAAUUUAUAGUUAACUAUAAAUAAGUUCAGAAAAACUGCACUGAACUAAAAAAAAAUUCAAAGUAAUUGAAUUGAACUAUUUUUUAGUUCACUUACAAUAUAGUACAAUUCAGUUAACUGGUUUUAAAUUCACUAUAAUAUAGUUUAGUUAUCCAUAACACAGAAUCACAUAAUACACAUUGGGA
RNAcentral lists this long non-coding RNA (217 nucleotides) under Vigna radiata. RNAcentral's name for it is "long non-coding RNA (VRAD_LNC009938)". The record is from RNAcentral. Lineage: Eukaryota; Viridiplantae; Streptophyta; Magnoliopsida; Fabales; Fabaceae.